RNAcentral lists this ribosomal RNA (399 nucleotides) under uncultured bacterium. RNAcentral's name for it is "bacterial SSU rRNA". It matches the Rfam family "Bacterial small subunit ribosomal RNA", at positions 356 to 773 of the family's 1533-position model. The record is from RNAcentral.
GGGGAAUAUUGCGCAAUGGGGGAAACCCUGACGCAGCAACGCCGCGUGCGGGAUGACGGCCUUCGGGUUGUAAACCGCUUUCAGCAGGGAAGACAUCGACUGUACCUGCACAAGAAGCCCCGGCUAACUACGUGCCAGCAGCCGCGGUAACACGUAGGGGGCGAGCGUUAUCCGGAUUCAUUGGGCGUAAAGCGCGCGCAGGCGGCCGCCUAAGCGGGACCUCUAAUCCCGGGGCUCAACCCCGGGCCGGGUCCCGAACUGGGCGGCUCGGGUGCGGUAGGGGUAGGCGGAAUUCCCGGUGUAGCGGUGGAAUGCGCAGAUAUCGGGAGGAACACCGACGGCGAAGGCAGCCUACUGGGCCGUCACCGACGCUGAGGCGCGAAAGCCGGGGGAGCGAAC